This 576-nucleotide ribosomal RNA is filed under the name Triticum aestivum (bread wheat). RNAcentral's name for it is "partial small subunit ribosomal RNA". The record is from RNAcentral. Lineage: Eukaryota; Viridiplantae; Streptophyta; Magnoliopsida; Poales; Poaceae.
AUGGCUUCAACAGGUGCAUCCGCUCUCACUUUGAAGCUGGCCGUCGUUGCUGCCGUUCUCGCCCUGCUGGUCAUACCUUCCUUGGGACGCUGUCCGUCCCUUGGUCCGGCACCACCACCACCAGCGCAGGCACCACCGCCACCACUGGAGGCCAUACCACCACCACCACCGGCGCAGGCACCACCCCCACCACUGGAGGCGAUACCACCGACGCAGGCGCCACCACCACCAUUGAUGGCGAUACCACCAGCGCCUGCGCUGGGUCCGGGGCUAGGACCGCGGCUCGGAUGCGGUGAGUGCCGCGUACAGUGCUUCCCGGCGUGCCAAGCCUCCCAUUCCAUGGACUGCAAAGAGGAAUGCGACAACGAUGAGAGCCGCUGCAAGGAGUGCAGGACCCCAGUGAUCAAGAAGUGCACGUCCGUCUGCACGGGCAGCUGUGACUGCAAUGCUGAAGCCGACAAGUCAUGCACCUCCGAGUGCUCCUACAAUACAUGCAGCUGUUGCGCGUACAGCCGUGACAAGAGUUGCAAGAACGACUGUGACAACUACUGCAACAGCAACUGCUGGGGACCAUAG